RNAcentral lists this ribosomal RNA (116 nucleotides) under Syntrophobacterales bacterium. The record is from RNAcentral. Lineage: Bacteria; Pseudomonadati; Thermodesulfobacteriota; Syntrophobacteria; Syntrophobacterales.
UCCGGUGGCGAUAGCAGAGAGGAAACACCCGUUCCCAUUCCGAACACGGAAGUUAAGCUCUCUGACGCCGAUGGUACUGCACGGGCGACCGUGUGGGAGAGUAGGUGCUGCCGGAA